UUUUUCUUUGUAUGUUCAACUAAAACAGCACAAGGAACCGAGGGAAGUGAACAUGUUUGUUGAUCUACUACUUCUUGAGGACUUCUUGAGUGAUCUUUCGGUACAUCGCUGCUGAUACAAGCAGCCUAACCAGACUGCUUUUGUGAAGGGAAUUUUGCAAUAUACCUUCUGUUUCUUGCUCACAUGAUUGAUGUGAUUUUGAAUUCAUUUAGCACAUUGCUUUCUGAGAAGCCAUUUGCAGUACAAGGAUGAAACUUGGUCAGAGUGUUUACCAUAUGGACUGGCAGUGAAACCAAAAAAGGAGGCGCGCUACUGUUCUUCUGUAUUCAUAUCAAUGUAACAGCAUGUACAAGUAGUCUUCUUGGGAGCUACCCAGUAGUUGAGUGAGACAUUAAUAAGCUAUUCUAAAUUAAAUGUAAAUAUGCAUUUCUGACCAUAGUAUGAAGUUCAAAGGUGUUUAUGUUCCUUUCCUGUGUAUAAGAUAAACAUUUUUUCUAACCCUUCUUCCUUAGGUCGCUUAAAUUGAAUUUGAUGUCUACAAAGUGCUUCCCAUUUCAUUAUUAGAUUACUGAUAUAGCUAUGCCUGGAGAGUGGAGAUAAGUGGAGGUGGCACCACCAAUUCCUUGAUGUACCAGGAAUGUUUGGAUUGUUGUAUUUUGACAUUGUUUAGUUCAACAUAUUCAAGGUAUGUUCCAAGGCUAUCUUAGAAAAAUUCCUGCAAAUAUUGCAUUUUGAUUCAUCUUGUUGCCCUUUUUGUUUCUGGUAUGGACCAUACUAUGAUUUCUUUGAACAAUUAGUUACUCUCUCAGUCUCCCAACCACAUCUCUCUCGGUCUUGCUUCUUGCCCGUUCCUAAUUUUGGCCAUUAUAUAUUUAUAAGGACGGGUUUGAGAAAACAUCUCUCGACAACUGAAAUUGUUGAGAAGAUUGUGUUUGCUCGUAUAUUAUUCUCGGAUCACAGCUCUAUUAACAACAAAGGUUGUGGUGGUCAUAUCACCCUUGUAAGUCUAAUUCAUGAUCAGUGCUUGAAACAUGCAAAUCACAGGUUAUCUGCAUGCUUCCUUGGAUCAGGGCAACCUGAUAGUCGCGUUGAAGCUAAAGCGAUAGCUGGCAUGUAUAAGAUUGUUUAUGUUUGCCACGAGACAAUAUUAAGAUUAAUGGAUUCGUUGAAGAAACUUGCAAAAAAGCUAGGGAUUGCACUUUUUGCCAUUGAUGAGGAAUGGUGAGGUUUAACAAACUGCAAAGAAGGGGAAGAAAGGAGGUACAUGGAAGGUUUCAAUAUAUCUGUCAACCUGUAUCAGCAUGGUCACUAGGAAUAAACUUAUAAAGAAGGGGAAGAAACAUGAAGGAAAUCUAAAAUAAGUCGUGAGAUAACUUAAGGUGCUUUUGCAGAGAAGGCAAUUUGCAUCUCCCAGCAGCGAUGGUUAGAGCAUCUCAGAGCAUAAAUCUAAACCUGUCGCAAGAUCUAUUCAUGACAAUAUGAGCAGAUAUUCUUCUCUUAGUAGUUAGUUUUAAGACACAACUGAAUUCAGUAGGAUAAGCUUUCGAUACAAAACAUUCUUUAGUUCCUCAUGAGAAUGGUCAUGGCAAAUCAUUGGGCACUAAGUUGCACACGCUUGGCAGUCUGCCUUCACGUGUACUACUUAAUGGCACCGAUGGGGAUGAUCAUAGUGACCAUUUGAAGCAAGGUUUCGUGACAGGUGGUAUGGUUGCUAGAUCAUCCAAUGUUAAAUGCGAUGAAAAGGCUGUAAUUAUCAUGUCUACAAGUUUUGUCUACUGUGACAAUGUUGUUAUGGAUAAGGCUGAAGAUGAAGAACCUUAGUUGUAUUAAGUUUGUGCAGAAAGAAACUAAUCAUAAUGUAAUGGAUACCUUGGAGCAACAAGAUUCUUUUACCCAUGUGUAUUAUAAAAAAU
This is a long non-coding RNA of Zea mays, 1913 nucleotides long. RefSeq lists it as uncharacterized. The record is from RefSeq and is a predicted model, not a curated record. Lineage: Eukaryota; Viridiplantae; Streptophyta; Magnoliopsida; Poales; Poaceae. The transcript is spliced from 8 exons.